This 575-nucleotide ribosomal RNA is filed under the name Alcaligenes sp. RNAcentral describes it as "bacterial SSU rRNA". It matches the Rfam family "Bacterial small subunit ribosomal RNA", at positions 303 to 870 of the family's 1533-position model. The record is from RNAcentral. Lineage: Bacteria; Pseudomonadati; Pseudomonadota; Betaproteobacteria; Burkholderiales; Alcaligenaceae.
ACCAGCCACACUGGGACUGAGACACGGCCCAUACUCCUACGGGAGGCAGCAGUGGGGAAUUUUGCACAAUGGGGGAAACCCUGAUCCAGCCAUCCCGCGUGUAUGAUGAAGGCCUUCUGGUUGUAAAGUACUUUUGGCAGCAGAAAAAAAGGUAUCCCCUAAUACGGGAUACUGCUGACGGUAUCUGCAGAAUAACCACCGGCUAACUACUUGCCAGCACCCGCGGUAAUACUUAGGGUGCAAGCGUUAAUCGGAAUUACUGGGCGUAAAGCGUGUGUAGGCGGUUCGGAAAGAAAGAUGUGAAAUCCCAGGGCUCAACCUUGGAACUGCGUUUUUUACUGCCGAGCUAGAGUAUGUCACAGGGGGGUAGAAUUCCACGUGUAUCAGUGAAAUGCGUAAAUAUGUGGAGGAAUACCGAUGGCGAAGGCAGCCCCCUGGGAUAAUACUGACGCUCAAACACGAAAGCGUGUGGAGCAAACACGAUUAGAUACCCUGGUAGUCCACGCCCUAAACGAUGUCAACUAGCUGUUGGGGCCGUUAGGCCUUAGUAGCGCAGCUAACGCGUGAAGUUGACC